RNAcentral lists this ribosomal RNA (370 nucleotides) under uncultured organism. RNAcentral's name for it is "bacterial SSU rRNA". It matches the Rfam family "Bacterial small subunit ribosomal RNA", at positions 526 to 896 of the family's 1533-position model. The record is from RNAcentral.
CGUAGGGUGCAAGCGUUAAUCGGAAUUACUGGGCGUAAAGCGUGCGCAGGCGGUUUUGUAAGUCUGUCGUGAAAUCCCCGGGCUCAACCUGGGAAUGGCGAUGGAGACUGCAAGGCUAGAGUUUGGCAGAGGGGGGUAGAAUUCCACGUGUAGCAGUGAAAUGCGUAGAUAUGUGGAGGAACACCGAUGGCGAAGGCAGCCCCCUGGGUCAAGACUGACGCUCAUGCACGAAAGCGUGGGGAGCAAACAGGAUUAGAUACCCUGGUAGUCCACGCCCUAAACGAUGUCUACUAGUUGUCGGGUCUUAAUUGACUUGGUAACGCAGCUAACGCGUGAAGUAGACCGCCUGGGGAGUACGGUCGCAAGAUUA